RNAcentral lists this ribosomal RNA (450 nucleotides) under uncultured bacterium. RNAcentral describes it as "bacterial SSU rRNA". It matches the Rfam family "Bacterial small subunit ribosomal RNA", at positions 354 to 796 of the family's 1533-position model. The record is from RNAcentral.
GUGGGGAAUAUUGGACAAUGGGGGCAACCCUGAUCCAGCAAUGCCGCGUGUGUGAAGAAGGCCUUCGGGUUGUAAAGCACUUUUACCAGGAACGAAACGCGCCGGAUUAAUACUUUGGCGAACUGACGGUACCUGGGGAAUAAGCACCGGCUAACUUCGUGCCAGCAGCCGCGGUAAUACGAAGGGUGCAAGCGUUACUCGGAAUUACUGGGCGUAAAGCGUGCGUAGGUGGCCUGUUAAGUCGAAUGUGAAAGCCCCGGGCUCAACCUGGGAAUGGCAUCCGAUACUGGCAGGCUAGAGUUCGAUAGAGGGUAGUGGAAUUCCAGGUGUAGCGGUGAAAUGCGUAGAGAUCUGGAGGAACAUCAGUGGCGAAGGCGGCUACCUGGAUCAGAACUGACACUGAGGCACGAAAGCGUGGGGAGCAAACAGGAUUAGAUACCCUUGUAGUCC